RNAcentral lists this ribosomal RNA (523 nucleotides) under Betta splendens (Siamese fighting fish). RNAcentral describes it as "partial 16S ribosomal RNA". It matches the Rfam family "Bacterial large subunit ribosomal RNA", at positions 1848 to 2571 of the family's 2925-position model. Lineage: Eukaryota; Metazoa; Chordata; Actinopteri; Anabantiformes; Osphronemidae. The record is from RNAcentral.
AGAGGUCCUGCCUGCCCUGUGAUAUAUAUUUAACGGCCGCGGUAUUUUGACCGUGCAAAGGUAGCGCAAUCACUUGUCCUUUAAAUGAAGACCUGUAUGAAUGGCAUGACGAGGGCUUAACUGUCUCCUUUUUCCAGUCAAUGAAAUUGAUCUUCCCGUGCAGAAGCGGGAAUACAACCAUAAGACGAGAAGACCCUAUGGAGCUUUAAACAAAAAUAGAUCUUGUUAAACAUAUCUUAAUUAAAGAAGUGAACCGAAAGAACCCUAUCAUUNAUGUUUUUGGUUGGGGCGACCGCGGGGAAACAAACAACCCCCAUGUGGACUAAGAAAACAUUUCUCACAAUAAAGAGCCACAGCUCUAAUUAACAGAAUUUCUGACCUANUAGAUCCGGCAAUGCCGAUCAACGGACCGAGUUACCCUAGGGAUAACAGCGCAAUCCUCUUUAAGAGUUCAUAUCGACAAGAGGGUUUACGACCUCGAUGUUGGAUCAGGACACCCUAAUGGUGCAGCAGCUAUUAAGGG